AUUGAACGCUGGCGGCAGGCUUAACACAUGCAAGUCGAGCGGGGGAAGGUAGCUUGCUACCGGACCUAGCGGCGGACGGGUGAGUAAUGCUUAGGAAUCUGCCUAUUAGUGGGGGACAACAUCUCGAAAGGGAUGCUAAUACCGCAUACGUCCUACGGGAGAAAGCAGGGGAUCUUCGGACCUUGCGCUAAUAGAUGAGCCUAAGUCGGAUUAGCUAGGUGGUGGGGUAAAGGCCUACCAAGGCGACGAUCUGUAGCGGGUCUGAGAGGAUGGUCCGCCACACUGGGACUGAGACACGGCCCAGACUCCUACGGGAGGCAGCAGUGGGGAAUAUUGGACAAUGGGGGGAACCCGGAUCCAGCCAUGCCGCGUGUGUGAAGAAGGCCUUAUGGUUGUAAAGCACUUUAAGCGAGGAGGAGGCUACUCUAGUUAAUACCUAGGGAUAGUGGACGUUACUCGCAGAAUAAGCACCGGCUAACUCUGUGCCAGCAGCCGCCGUAA
This 501-nucleotide ribosomal RNA is filed under the name uncultured bacterium. Its description in RNAcentral is "partial 16S ribosomal RNA". It matches the Rfam family "Bacterial small subunit ribosomal RNA", at positions 30 to 523 of the family's 1533-position model. The record is from RNAcentral.